RNAcentral lists this ribosomal RNA (561 nucleotides) under uncultured bacterium. RNAcentral describes it as "bacterial SSU rRNA". It matches the Rfam family "Bacterial small subunit ribosomal RNA", at positions 338 to 916 of the family's 1533-position model. The record is from RNAcentral.
CCUACGGGAGGCAGCAGUGGGGAAUCUUGCGCAAUGGGCGAAAGCCUGACGCAGCCAUGCCGCGUGUAUGAUGAAGGUCUUAGGAUUGUAAAAUACUUUCACCGGUGAAGAUAAUGACUGUAGCCGGAGAAGAAGCCCCGGCUAACUUCGUGCCAGCAGCCGCGGUAAUACGAAGGGGGCUAGCGUUGCUCGGAAUUACUGGGCGUAAAGGGAGCGUAGGCGGACAUUUAAGUCAGGGGUGAAAUCCCAGAGCUCAACUCUGGAACUGCCUUUGAUACUGGGUGUCUUGAGUGUGAUAGAGGUAUGUGGAACUCCGAGUGUAGAGGUGAAAUUCGUAGAUAUUCGGAAGAACACCAGUGGCGAAGGCGACAUACUGGAUCAUUACUGACGCUGAGGCUCGAAAGCGUGGGGAGCAAACAGGAUUAGAUACCCUGGUAGUCCACGCCGUAAACGAUGAUUGCUAGUUGUCGGGAUGUUUACAUCUCGGUUGACGCAGCUAACGCAUUAAGCAAUCCGCCUGGGGAGUACGGUCGCAAGNUUAAAACCUCAAGGAAUUGACGG